UGUUUGAUGUUCUAACGUGGACCCGUGAUCCGGGUUGCGGACAGUGUCUGGUGGGUAGUUUGACUGGGGCGGUCUCCUCCUAAAGAGUAACGGAGGAGCACGAAGGUUGGCUAAUCCUGGUCGGACAUCAGGAGGUUAGUGCAAUGGCAUAAGCCAGCUUGACUGCGAGCGUGACGGCGCGAGCAGGUGCGAAAGCAGGUCAUAGUGAUCCGGUGGUUCUGAAUGGAAGGGCCAUCGCUCAACGGAUAAAAGGUACUCCGGGGAUAACAGGCUGAUACCGCCCAAGAGUUCAUAUCGACGGCGGUGUUUGGCACCUCGAUGUCGGCUCAUCACAUCCUGGGGCUGAAGUAGGUCCCAAGGGUAUGGCUGUUCGCCAUUUAAAGUGGUACGCGAGCUGGGUUUAGAACGUCGUGAGACAGUUCGGUCCCUAUCUGCCGUGGGCGCUGGAGAACUGAGGGGGGCUGCUCCUAGUACGAGAGGACCGGAGUGGACGCAUCACUGGUGUUCGGGUUGUCAUGCCAAUGGCACUGCCCGGUAGCUAAAUGCGGAAGAGAUAAGUGCUGAAAGCAUCUAAGCACGAAACUUGCCCCGAGAUGAGUUCUCCCUGAGACUUAGAGUCUCCUGAAGGAACGUUGAAGACGACGACGUUGAU
Molecule: ribosomal RNA, 652 nt
Filed under: Salmonella enterica subsp. enterica
Lineage: Bacteria; Pseudomonadati; Pseudomonadota; Gammaproteobacteria; Enterobacterales; Enterobacteriaceae
Description: partial 23S ribosomal RNA
Rfam family: Bacterial large subunit ribosomal RNA
Source: RNAcentral